GACAGGCCGGGCAGUGUAACCCAGGAACCUGCGACCUUGUGCUUGUGAGGCAGGCGGCGGAACCACUGGGCUGAGUCCCUGGCCCUGCCCCUGAGCUCUUGAUCCUCCUGCCUCAGCCUGCAAGUGCUGGGAUGACAGAUGUGUCUGUGUAGAGGUGCAGGUGCUCCUCUGCUCUGGGGGAGGGUGGCCGAUGCAGACUCUGCAGGGCGAGGGGACCCCCGCACCUCCCCAGGAGCCUCCCAGCCUGCACAGCAUCCUGAGCCCAGCACUGUGUACAUCAGGGAAACUGAGGCCAGGGGGUCAUGCAGCAGGUGUGCUUCAGCCUGGCUGGCUUUCCCAGGGGGCGUCUGGGACCAGGCUGUCCCUGGGGCUUGCGUGGGGCUGGAGGCUGCCACGUGGAGGUGGCCGGACCCUUCCCUGUUCCUCUUCGGGGGAGGACACAGGCCCUGGGCCCCGCCCAGCCUGCAGCGCUCAGGGUUGUGCCCGGGUGGGCUCCCGCCUGGUCUCCUCCCGCCUCAGCACUCGCUCUGGAGUGGCCUGGGUGGGGGACGCCACCCUGGCCAGAGUCCAAAGGCGCAGCAGGAGCCCGGGCCCCACAUGCUGGAAACAGGAUGUGGGGGGGCUCCGCGGGUCUCCCCUCUCCCGCUGAGGCAGAGCUGUCACCCGCGCCCCUCCUGCUGUCCCGGGCCUAUCCCUGCCUGGCCCAAGGCCCAGCCUGGAAAAACCCAUCAGACCCCGCCUGAGUGGGGCGCAGAGGGGUCCAGGCGGGCGGGUGGGGAGCCUGGGCCACCCGCACUGUCCCCCAGCGCGAGGCCACAGCGCGGGCACGGGCACCUGCCCGAUAGCGGAGGUGUCGCUGAUGCUGCGCAGAGCUGACCACAGCGGCCUCCCGCGCGCGCCCCCCGGCGGUUAAGUGUAUGUCUCAUCCGGCCUGGGACAACCCACGGCCUUGGGCGAGCAGGGCCGAGCCACCCAGCUGAUCCCCGGCCCUUACUUCUCCUUUUCAGUGGGUUUCUUGCGUAAAAACUCCCAAGGACCUGCGGUCAUGCCAGGUGUAACCGGGUCAGGGUCCGGCUGAGUGGGACAAGGCCUCCCGGCCCACCCGCUGGCUGCCACCCAGUGACUCGCGGGGCGUGGUGGGUGUCCUCAGCGGGCAGGUCGGGCACCACGCUGUGCAGGGCGACAGACCGGGUGGGCGGGUGUGUGGGAAGCCUGUGAACGCGGUUCCUCCGGUGCUGUCCAAAGAGGGACCGCAAGCCAGCCUCGCCUGUCAGCCCAGAGCUUGGGAGGCUGAGGCCGGAGCAUCAGACCGAGUUCAAGGCCAGCCUGGACUAGACUCUGUCUCAAAAGAAGAGGAGCUCCCUGUGACCUGGCCCGAGCACCGGGUCGGAGGACGCUGCCCCCUCGCCCGCACCCUGGGUGCCUGGCGCCCCGGCAGCCUGCUGGGGUCUGGAGAGGCUCCGGGCUGUGGAAAUCGAGGAACAUCUGUGAUCAGUUCCCGAAAAUAUUUGCUGGUUUGAAAACUACAGAAGAGUCCAGAAAAGAAGAUAGAAACCACCCAAAUUGCAUCCAGAGAAGCAGCUGAAGUUCGGCUGUGACCGCUGUGUGCCCAUUGGUGCCCAGGGCAGCGGUUCCCAACAUCAUGGCACUGAGAAUCAGCAGGACGGCUCGCUGAACAAAGGCUCCCAUCCUAGCCCUCGGAGGCUGCGGCAGGAGGAUCGCAAGGCCAAGUCCAGCUUGGGCAACUUUGUGACACGCUGUCUCAAGAUACAGAGGAGAGCCUGGGUUCAGUGACCAGCAGCGCAAACCCAAGACAAGUGCUUCUCAGCCGGCGGGCCUGGGUGGGACGGCGCCUGGCGUCUCUCACUCCCGGGCCCAGGGAACACACGGCAGAGUGACUGGCCUUCGGGUUAUGCCUUCGUUAUUUCAAGAAGGGGCCACAACCUGUGGUGCUGGCAUCACUCGGGAACUUGUGAGAAAUGCAGAAUCUGAGGCCCCAGCCCAGCCCCAUUGAAUCGGAAGCUGUACUUUCUCAGCAGGACCCCUGAACACUCUGUAGCUGGCGUGGUGCUGCACGCCUGUCAUCCCAGCGCUCAGGAGGCUGAGGGAGGAGAGUUGCGUUUUCAAGGUCAGCCUGGGGUACAUAGUGAGACCUUGCCUCAAAAAGAAAGCACCGAUGUGCGCAGGACUGGCUUAUAUUUUGAGCAUUAUACUGUGUUACAGAGCUUCGCCCUAGAUCACUGAUACAAUUUACACACAAUAAAUGUGCCAUUGUGGAGCUCUGAUAAAAUUACACAGGACCGUCUCCCAUCUUUUCUGUCUGCUCACCAGGACUUUCCUGUACAGUUAAAUGUUUUGGGAAAACAGGAUCUUUCUUUGCAGUGCAGGUUGUCCCUGAACUCACUGUGUAGCCCAGGGUGGUCCAACUCAGUGAUCCUCCUGUCCCAGC
Molecule: long non-coding RNA, 2449 nt
Filed under: Heterocephalus glaber (naked mole-rat)
Lineage: Eukaryota; Metazoa; Chordata; Mammalia; Rodentia; Bathyergidae
Description: lncRNA (ENSHGLG00000036047.1)
Source: RNAcentral